GAAAUGCGAUAAGUAGUGUGAAUUGCAGAAUUCAGUGAAUCAUCGAAUCUUUGAACGCACAUUGCGCCCUUUGGUAUUCCUUAGGGCAUGCCUGUUCGAGCGUCAUCUAAACCUUCAAGCCCUGCUUGGUGUUGGGUGCCUGUCCCGCCUCCGCGCGCGGACUCACCUCAAAUCCAUUGACGGCCCCCGCGUCGGCCACGAGCGCAGCAGAAACGCGAACUCGUGAGCCCGUCCGGGCGGCUCCCAGAAGCUACACCCACCCAGUUUGACCUCGGAUCAGGUAGGGAUACCCGCUUAACUUAAGC
RNAcentral lists this unclassified non-coding RNA (305 nucleotides) under plant metagenome. RNAcentral's name for it is "partial contains 5.8S ribosomal RNA, internal transcribed spacer 2, and large subunit ribosomal RNA". The stretch from base 1 to 105 matches the Rfam family "5.8S ribosomal RNA", at positions 50 to 154 of the family's 154-position model. The record is from RNAcentral.